GGGGGCGACAUUGGCUUCGACGUGGGUUGCGAAACCUGAGGUGCAUGCCGAGGAUACAGAUUCCCUCGUUAAUCCAUCUGUACCAAAGAUAGUUGCCAACGACGACAACUACGCGCUCGCCGCUUAAACACCGGUAGAGGCCGUCUGACUGGAGCCGUGCUUGUGCGUCCAGGGUCCUUCGGGACCACUCAGGCGUCAUAUCUCACAAGAUCGUGACAAGGCUCGUCCGGGGCCGCGUCAUUAAAACCCAACCGGAAUCGCCGUCCUGAACGCCCUGUCCGUCGGGCAUCAGGCGGUUAAACUGAAAAGACGCGACUAAGCAUGUAGAGCCAAGGGCAGAGGACUUGCGGACGCGGGUUCGAUUCCCGCCGCCUCCACCA
RNAcentral lists this transfer-messenger RNA (380 nucleotides) under Sedimenticola thiotaurini. It matches the Rfam family "transfer-messenger RNA". Rfam says of the family: Bacterial tmRNA, also known as 10Sa RNA or SsrA, is named for its dual tRNA and mRNA-like properties. Its role is to liberate the mRNA from a stalled ribosome. Lineage: Bacteria; Pseudomonadati; Pseudomonadota; Gammaproteobacteria; Chromatiales; Sedimenticolaceae. RNAcentral also lists the same sequence under 1 other name. The record is from RNAcentral.